This is an RNA transcript of Acipenser ruthenus (sterlet), 6018 nucleotides long. It is a transcript of the gene named chronophin-like, with no coding region annotated. NCBI's taxonomy places the organism in Eukaryota, Metazoa, Chordata, Actinopteri, Acipenseriformes, Acipenseridae. The record is from RefSeq and is a predicted model, not a curated record. The transcript has 5 exons.
AAGAAACAACAGGCUGAACUUCGGUUUAGGAAUCAGUCCAAAACAGCAGGGAACGCCCUCGUCUGUCAGUGACGUCAUUUUAAAGCACACAUACAAUCAGUAAUAUGGCAGGUGCAUUGAGCAGGAGGGGUUGCAUAAAGAUCCGAGGUCCUCAACUAAGAGAACUACUGGAUUCAAAAUGCAACAUACUGUUCGAUUGCGAUGGGGUCAUCUGGGAAGGAGAAAAAGCCAUCCCCGGUGCUAUAGAGGUGGUAAGCUUACUGAAAAACCAAGGGAAAAAUGUGUUCUUCGUUACCAACAAUUGCACCAGGCCUAGGGACAGCUACAUGCAGAAGUUUACGAGGUUGGGUUUUACUGACGUACAGAAGAGGGAUAUUUUUAGCUCUGCAUACUGCUCUGCAGUUUACCUGAGGGAUUUUGCCAACCUGCAAGGCAAGGUGUUCGUUAUCGGGGGAGACGGGGUUUAUAAGGAGCUCAGGGAAGCCGGGGUGCCCUUUGUGGAAAGUGAGCCGGAGACCCCUGGUAUGACGAUAUCCGACUGCCCGCUCCAUUCUGAUGUCAAGGCGGUUCUGGUUGCAUACGAUGAAGAUUUUAAUUUUCUGAAGCUAGCUAAAGCAUGCUGCUACUUGCGGGACUCAGAAUGUCUGUUUAUUGCUUCCGAUCCAGACCCCUGGCACCCAGUUAGAGGAGGAAGAGUUACCCCUGGUUCUGGAAGUCUCACUGCUGCCUUGGAAACUGCCACAAACAGAAAGGCCACUGUUAUGGGGAAGCCGAGCAGGUUCAUGUUUGAGUGCAUCACCAGUCAGUGUGGUGCGGACGCCGCUCAGUCUCUCAUGGUCGGCGACCGCCUGGAAACAGACAUCCUGUUUGGGGCAAACUGUGGCCUUUCCACUGUGCUCACCCUGACCGGGGUGUCCACGAUUGAGGAAGCCCAGGCUAACCUGGAAAGUGACAGUCCAGCGAAGCAGAAUGCGGUACCAGAUUAUGUUGUGGACAGCAUUGGUGACUUUUUACUCGCACUGAAAACCUAAACUAAAUAUUACACUUCACUAUUCUACCAUUCCAACAACCAAAUCUAUAAUACAUGGAAACCCAGCCUUAUACAACAGUUACAUUAUGUCACUUUCUCUCAACACUGUUUUUGUUUUUUUAACCUCAGUAAUUCCUUUCACCCUCCUAAUUGAGAGCUGUUCAGACAGGUUAGACCCUAAACCGGAUGCUGUAGUGGUUCAGCAUGCUGUACGUAAGUAUCUAGCCACCAGCGUUGGUAUUUAAAAACAUGAUUCCUUUUAGUCUUAGAAAUAGAAAAGUGCUAGUGGCAGAUUAUGGGUUUGGGACCAUCAGUUCAGUCAGGGCCGUGAUUUCACACUCGCCGGUAACAGUAUCCAAGGAGCCAUGUUGAUUUAUUGUACAGGAAAGCAGGUUAAAUAUUAUAAUGUAUGACAAUUUGUGACGCUUUACCCGAUAGGUUGGAUACAGUUAUUUGAAUUGAAUUAAACCCUUGCUUGUAACCCUUAAUUGCCUCCCGGUUCUGAAGUGAACUCCCUUAAGAGGAUAUUCUGCACAAUCCUUCAUGAAAAAGUAAACAUUAUCCGGCAAAACUGUCAGUUAUUGUUGGACAGCUCUGGUUUAAUUGAACCAAUUUUAAACUGUUCAAUAGUGAUGCAACUUGAUUUGGACAUUCUUUAGGUUUUUGAGAGUAUCAGAAUCUAGAGAUUCCAUCUUUCUUUAUGUACUUGCAUGUUAACAUCUAUCUAGAGAACAGCUUGUCCAAUUGGGAUCAAACUGCCACACUUACAUUUUUGCAAGUACACAUGGCUGAUGGAGGUAGGUCAUGGUGAGCUAUAUUUUUUCAUGAUUCUGAUAACUAUUAAUUUCAUAUUUAAAACUAUGAUGAGGAAUUAAUGUUGCAAACAUACUUUACUUCUUUAUUUAGGUAUUAUUAUUUGGCUCACAGAGGUAGUUACUCGUUGUAGGGAUACCACCCAACAUCUCCCUACAGCUAAAACCACCUUCCAAAUGAUCCUAAGGCCAAGCUGUUGUAGAAUGUGCAAAAAAAAAAAGGAACGUGUUUGUGGGGAAACUGCAGCUUUGUUAAUUUUAUAGAAAAAAUAUUGUUACCAUAACAGCAAAGAAGGGAUUGGUUGCUGUAUACAGACAAGCAUGUGUAUAGUGAAGGAAGCAACCAUGCACACAUCCUGUAGCACCUUCCUUUGUAAUCGUCAGACACCUGGGACCAUACCUGUCCGCAUUGUGGAGUAUAUACCAGCACUCCAUUAUGCAUUACAUUUAUAUUCCAUGUUAGACACCUGUCUCCUGGUUUUCUACAGAGGUCAGCUGUUCUGUUCUAAUUCGGACACCUGUUCUAAAACCACUGCUACUGAUGAAUCGCUUCACAGGGACCCUGUCAGAAAGUGAACUCUUUCAGUGAACUACAACUGUUAUUUCAGACAGACAGAAGUAAAUAAAUGAAUAUGUUUUAAAACGUUGUAAUCUAACAGUGAUAAUGGCAUUGCUGUGGCGAGUUCCUUGGUAACCUGCCACAGCAAUAUCAUUAUCGCUCUCUUUAUUUUAUAACAGAUGUCAUCUUGUGCAGUUUGGAUGAGUAGACCGCAAAGAUGAGCUUAAGCAGUUAUACAUAUUGGAGAUGACAUCCUUGCACACAAUGUAUUAUAUAGUGCAAAUCCUGAGUGGGUACCUACUUUACAUUAUCUCCAAAUGUUUUUACAUCAGAGGGCCUGGUUACAUUCAUGUCCUAGACCCUGUUAGUUGAGCUGUAUUUGAGGUUUGAAAACGCUAUUUUGAACAUUUGUACUGUAAAAGACUAAACAUCUUGGUCAAGUAAUAUGCAUUAUUUUCGAUUACCUCUACACAAAUUGUAAGGCAUUGAUCCUAGAUAAAUUACAGGAAUUCUCACAGCAGUAUUCAUUCUUUUAAACCCCUAAAACACAGAUAAUAGCAGGGAAUGGUGUUGCUUUUACCCUGGCUGGGUGUCAAAAAUAAAUAAAUAAAUUGCAUAUACAGAAUGUGAAGAAGAAAAUAAAUAUAUAUCUCUGAAAACAAACUUCAUGUCUGAUCCUAGACACAAAAAAAUCAACUGCGUUUGUAACUAAUCAUUUUAUUUUGUAAGUUUUGCUUGUUGGGGUGGGGGGGGGGAGAGAAUUAUCUUUUGAUAUAUGAAAAACAAUCCUGUUUUUUCAUAUUUUAUACUGAUUUUUAUCAUAAAACUCUUCUUACUGUAAUGGAGUUGUAGGAGAGCUUUUGUGACAUUACCUCAAAUGUUUGUUUUUGAAGUGGUUUGGUAGUUUAAUGAAUGGAAGAGAAUCUUUAGGUUUUAAAGAUACAUAUAUAUUAAGAUUUGAUAUUAGCAGUGCAUCACAAAGCAACAUUUGAAGAAAUUAUAGAGUCUGAUAUUGUGAUACAGCCACCUGAAAUUUAUUUGAACCAAUUUGUAAGACAGAAAUUAUGUCCCCUUAAGAUAAGCUAUACUGUUGAACUAUUCUUUUUUAACUACAUAUUCUAAAACACCCUGUGUAGUGUGCUGUAAGAUACAAGCUGAUUGUCACCCGACUGAUCCACUGGGGUGUAUCGUACAGUACCCUAUACAAUAUUCUAUAUGUAUGUGACAUCUUCAGACUUUUUGUUCAAAAUUGCAAGCAAAAAAAAAAAUGUAUUUGGUGGAAAAUGUGUACAAAUUGCUUGAUGCAAGUUUCUUCCACAGUUCCAUGAACACUGCUUUGUGUUUUGUGGUCUAGUAUUCCCUUUUAUUAAAAUUUAAGAAAGUUGUUUUAAUUAAAGUAAUAAUACACCAUUGGGAAGGUUAACACUGCAGUAUUAAAACCUUGAGUAAAAAACAAAAUUCAGCUUGGAUUACAACAGCUUUUCCUGACACCUCAGUCUUGCCUCGAGUGUAAAUGGAGUGGUGACUGUUCCGUGUUCAUGUAUUUCAUGCCCUUCAGUUGUACUUAGACUCCUAGUUGCCAGGAAAUGCCACACCUUUGAAUGUGUUUAGUAUGAAAGUCCUCACCAAGCACUGUACUGCCUGCUGCAACAUUGUUUUUGUAUCAAUAUUGCUGAACAUUACAGAUAUUUAUUUGUGAUGUCAUUUUGGCCUGUGAUGUCAUGGAGUGUUAAUUUGCAAAGUAUAAUUGAAUGUUUUGUAUCUGGAAAAGCGGUCUGGUCUUUUUUUCUUUUUUCUCCAGUUCAGGCUGUGUGCAGUAUGCUGGUAUGGUUUGUUUGGAUAAAACAUAAAGAAUUAGAAGCACAUGUGGUAAGGAGCACACACUUACUUUUUUUUUUUUUUUGUGUGUCACGUAACUGAUUCGAUUGUUAUGUAGCUAGCAUCCGUGGGAGCUAUUCUGUCCUAUCUGUAUGCUCCAUCCACACAAUGGAAGUCAGGUCUGGUCAGCAUAGCAAGACAGCAGAGCAGACAGACGUUCUUUUUUUUAUUAUAAGUCAUCUAUGGCAAAUAAACUGUUAACUUGUAGUAGAGGGCUGAUAAUAUGUGCUUGGUUGGCAGGUGUUUACUUAUCCCAGAAAAUGUACUGAUUCCCACCAGCAAGUAAUAACAAUUUACAUUUAAACUCCAUACAGUCAUCAGAUUAAGAAUCCUAAUAUAUCUGCCAAAUUCAACAGAUGGAAGGUGGGUGUGUCUGCUGUGCUGUGCAGAGAUAGACCUGCCUAAGAGAAAUGCAUUCCGGGCACACUGCAUCAGCCAAGAUAACCCAAUCAAUAUAUUAAAGUAUACUGGCAGACUUAGCAAGGCUUGUGAAUAAAGACUAGACCUCCCUGCUGAAGAUCUCUUGAUUAUUUUGUGUUUGUUUUAUUGUAAUGAUGUUCCCAGUUUUUACACUUUGAAUGCAACACCAUGGCUUGUGUGUUUUCAUUUAGGGGGAUACAAAAAUUGAAAUAAACAAGCUUGUCCAUAAAUAGUUUACAAAAACACCGGAGGUUUCAUUCCACACUAUAAUACGUGCUGCAUAAACUGCGUGAAAAUUCUGUGGAAGCUUUCUUCUGCCGAUAGGCUAUAUGGAAAACCCAAACGUUCUAGAAAAUCUGCGUCUACAUUCUGCUGUGCUUGCAGGUUACGCCUGCAUUUCAAAAGCACAGCAGUCUUUAUAUAAAAAGACGCAAUUGCAAGAAGCCUGCAUGCUUACCCUGACAUUUUACUUUCAAACAAAAAAGCACUGUCUGUGUUAAGUUACUCUUAAAUGCACAGGUCAAGUUUAUAGGUUUUGUAAAGAGCAAAGGGAUGAUACAUUUCAAGGUUUUAUCGUGUACUGGGGACAUUUUACGAAGCGUACGAAUAUUUGUGAAUACAGUAGAAUAGGUCUGGGAUUCCAUUUGCAGAAUAACGAUGAAUCAAUUUACCGAAAGUGUGUUCUGCAGUAAAUACAGUAUUGCUGCAGUUUGUGGCCAGUCCUGUGGUUAACCCUGUGUGUUCCAGAGCACCCCUUCAGAUGUCUUAUGACAUUCCAGUUACGUUGUAAGAACCAGUGUUCCAGAACAGCUGACCGUUUAAUUUAAUCUAUUUAUUGCUACUGAGGAACAGGCCAAGAACAAGGAAACAAUUACUUGAAUUUCGGAAACCUUUUUUUGUUUGUUUGUUUGUUUUGUUUUUAAACCUGUGCCAAUAUGGGUUUUACCUUUUUAAAUAUAUUAAUAACAAUGACAAUAAUAACAGUCCCAGCGCUGGAAGGACCAACUGUGAUUAACGAAAAACUGGCUGCCGGGUCACACCUUGUUGAUGAGACAGGAAAUGUAAAAGGAAGCAUUAACAGCAAAGAGCCUGCUCCCAUGGAGAAGCCAAACAUUGAGGAUAGAAGUUCUGAAUAUGUUGUCCAGUUCUUCAAUGAUGUCGAUGGACACAAAUCUCAAAGAAAGAAUAAACAACUAACUAAGAGAGCAGCAAGAGUAGAAUAUUGGUUUAUUAAUUCAGUGGACCAGUACGAUUAGAUUGUUGUAUUGAAAAUUUGGGUAUAUUUUAUAUUUAAAAAUAAACAUGACAUGUUACAUUAA